This is an RNA transcript of Ziziphus jujuba (common jujube), 1403 nucleotides long. It is a transcript of the gene named probable cytokinin riboside 5'-monophosphate phosphoribohydrolase LOGL10, with no coding region annotated. The record is from RefSeq and is a predicted model, not a curated record. The transcript has 5 exons. Lineage: Eukaryota; Viridiplantae; Streptophyta; Magnoliopsida; Rosales; Rhamnaceae.
GAAAUUCUCUUCUCCUUGCCACCAUAGAGAGAAGCGUUGCUCCUUUAGGCAAAUUAUGGAAGCAAGUUGACCCAAAUGGAACCCUAUUCGCCAUCUCUCCAUCUCGUCAAAAUCUGCAAUCUUCAGUGCUCAACUUGUUUUCAUCUUCUAUAACUCUCUGCAUUGCGUUCGAAAAAUCACAAUCAGAUUUUUCUUCCAAGUCUAUCCAAUAGAGCUGUUUUGGACACCUUUGGAGGAUUUGGGAAAUGGGGUUUUCAAUGUUGGCUUCACUGGGUUCUCAUGUAUUAGCUAGAAAUUCUUGUGAAGGGAUUGUAAAGUUUCAAUAUUUGCCUGCAAUGGAGAGACAUAACGUUAGCUUCAAAAUUUCGAAGUUCAGGUGUCACUCGGGAAGAAUUGUUUCAAGCAAGCAUGAUCCAAUUGAUCUUGAAGAAAGAGCAAGCCCAAGUGAGGUUAGAAAAGAAAUGGAACAGUGUUAUGAACUCAUACACAGACUUGGGAGAGGAGUCAUUUAUUUGGGUUCAUCAAGGAUGGGACCAACUCAUUCCCAUUACUUGCAAGCACUAGAGUUGGGCAGAGAGAUUGCAAACCUUUUGGACUGUACUUCAUGGUCAGGGGCUGGUCCUGGACUAAUGGAUGCCGCUACUAAAGGUGCUUUACAAGCAGGAAAACCAGUUGGUGGGUUUAAGAUUGGUAGAGAAGCUGGAGAAUGGACAGCAUCAAAUUUUCAUCCAUAUCUACCUUUGGAAGUAUAUUUUACAUGCAGGUUUUUCUCUGCUAGGAAGCACGGAUUGGUAGAUGCUGUGGUGAGAAACUGUAGUUCUGAUAGGACUGCUGUUGUUGCGCUUCCUGGUGGGAUUGGAACUCUGGACGAGUUGUUUGAGAUAUUAGCAUUAAUUCAACUGGAGAGAAUUGGGUCACAGCUUCAAGUUCCAGUCUUGUUGAUGAACUAUGAUUCAUUCUAUUCAAAGCUGCUAGACUUUCUUGAUGAUUGUGAGAACUGGGGUACAGUCUCCAAAGGAGAAGUUGCAUCUCUAUGGAAGGUUUGUGAUAGUAACUUAGAGGCUUUAGCUUAUUUGGCAGAAUUUUACGGUCUGCCUCUUAGUGAAAAAAGCAGGCAAGAAACUGAGUCGCGAAGCGCACAUUAAACUGACUUUUGGAUGAAUAAUUUGACUUUGUGAGCUGGUUGCCGAGAAAUUCUUCUCCUACCUGAUGUAAAUUAAUGAAAAGACAAUGCCCUUAAACUCUUCAAGGACCAAGGUGUAGUAGUAUUAUGUAGCCGAUUCAUAUUUCAUCUCUUUGUGGACGAUUAUUUCAGCAAUUGAUUUGUAUGUGGAAUAAUGAUGCUGAAAAGGUAUCUGAAACAAAAGCGAGCUUUGGAAUAAUAAUGUAUUCAUAGCAAAUCA